UACGUAGGGGGCAAGCGUUGUCCGGAAUCAUUGGGCGUAAAGCGCGUGUAGGCGGCUUGGUAAGUCUGCUCUGAAAGCCCGGGGCUCAACCCCGGGAGGCGGGUGGAUACUGCUGAGCUCGAGUCCGGAAGAGGCGAGUGGAAUUCCUGGUGUAGCGGUGAAAUGCGCAGAUAUCAGGAGGAACACCGAUGGCGAAGGCAGGUCUCUGGGCAUUAACUGACGCUGAGGAGCGAAAGCAUGGGGAGCGAACAGG
RNAcentral lists this ribosomal RNA (253 nucleotides) under uncultured bacterium. RNAcentral's name for it is "partial 16S ribosomal RNA". It matches the Rfam family "Bacterial small subunit ribosomal RNA", at positions 524 to 776 of the family's 1533-position model. The record is from RNAcentral.